RNAcentral lists this microRNA (22 nucleotides) under Mus musculus (house mouse). Its description in RNAcentral is "mmu-miR-6419". Lineage: Eukaryota; Metazoa; Chordata; Mammalia; Rodentia; Muridae. The record is from miRBase by way of RNAcentral.
CAGCAGCAAUCUGACACAUGGA